AACGCACGAGACCUGCGGACCUGCGGAGGGAUCAUUACCGAGUGUUGACCGCAAGGUCGCCUCCCACCCCUUGUGUACUCUCUCUGUUGCUUCGGCGAGACGUUGGCAACAAGCUGCCGUCGGCGUUAGCGGGCGUGAGCUCGCCGAAGGCCCUUAACUCUAAAUUGUUUGAGUGGUCUGAGGCAAAAAUUCAAUUCAUCAAAACUUUCAGCAACGGAUCUCUAGAUCGGAAGAGCACAC
RNAcentral lists this unclassified non-coding RNA (240 nucleotides) under soil metagenome. Its description in RNAcentral is "partial contains 5.8S ribosomal RNA, internal transcribed spacer 2, and large subunit ribosomal RNA". The record is from RNAcentral.